CGGGGUGUGGCGCAGUUGGUUAGCGUGCUUGACUGGGGGUCAAGAGGUCGCGAGUUCGAGUCUCGCCACUCCGA
This 74-nucleotide transfer RNA is filed under the name Bacteroidota bacterium. Its description in RNAcentral is "Bacteroidetes bacterium tRNA-Pro". It matches the Rfam family "tRNA". From Rfam's summary of the family: Transfer RNA (tRNA) molecules are approximately 80 nucleotides in length. Their secondary structure includes four short double-helical elements and three loops (D, anti-codon, and T loops). Lineage: Bacteria; Pseudomonadati; Bacteroidota. RNAcentral also lists the same sequence under 2 other names. The record is from RNAcentral.